CAUUUGCAAUUGAUAUAUAGUACAAAAUAAUUUUUAGGUUACAGAUGAAAGCCAAGUACGAAAGGCUGUUGAAUAUGCGAAAGAGAAGUGUGGGGGGUUGAACACUGUUGUUAAUUGUGCUGGCAUAGGAAUUGCAAUGAGAAUUUUAGGAAAGGAUGGUAAAGCUCAUCCACUGGACAAAUUCGAAAUGGUUCUUAAGGUUUGUAUUGUGUGCUUACUUAGAUUGAAUUUUUUUAAUAUAAUAUAAUUUUACAUUAAUUCAACGAAAUAGCUUGUUAGAAUAUGUCCCGUUCACACGCAUAUCCGUUUGUAUCCGCAAACAUUUUGUUACAGAUACGCCUUCCGUCAACACGUAUCCGGAGAAAACACACACUUGAAACCGCAAACUUUCGAAAACGGUCUCCAGAGUGGGAACUUUUGAAAACGCAACAAAUCCGGGAUACGUUUGGACCUCAUUGUAACCGGAACGUUUUGAAAAACGAUGACGGCCAGCUCUUCAACCAUUUUAGAAUCGUGUGAUGACAUAAAUAUCGAUAUCGAUUGGACGCGUUGGAAGAACACUUUUCUUUCAAUCGUUUCAGAAUACAUUCCAAAGAAGAAAUUAAAAGGU
Molecule: non-coding RNA, 610 nt
Organism: Paramuricea clavata
Lineage: Eukaryota; Metazoa; Cnidaria; Anthozoa; Malacalcyonacea; Plexauridae
Source: the annotation of a GenBank genome assembly